Halichondria panicea is the source of this 2555-nucleotide long non-coding RNA. RefSeq lists it as uncharacterized. The transcript has 6 exons. The record is from RefSeq and is a predicted model, not a curated record. Lineage: Eukaryota; Metazoa; Porifera; Demospongiae; Suberitida; Halichondriidae.
UGAAGCAGAAGCUGAACCUCACAUUUGCAGCAAGUUUGCAGUAUCAAUGUGACUGUCCAUCAUCUCUGAGUCUCUGCAAAAGUGAAGUGAUCUCUUCAACAUGUCUCUACAUCUCAAGAAGCGCUACUCCACCUCUAAACCUUGCAGCUGCAAAUGUCCACUAAAGCUCAACAAUUGCUCUUAUUCGAUUUGAUUCUUAUAUACGCCCAGCCACGAAUAGAUAGUGUUCAUCACAACACGAAAUUCGAAAACGAACGAUCAACAACAACAAAAAGCACUCGACAGUCAUCUGAUUUAUAUCAGACAUUAUUAUUAUGUUAGAGAGGGGCCCCUCACAGCAGUCAGUGUCUUUAUUCAUUUUUGUGACAGCAGUAUAUCACAACAAGUGGCAGUAUCUGCACUGACUAAUAAAAUGAUCUGACAACACGAGACCACUGGGUGGAAUAUUGAAGUCAAGUCUAUCCACUACUGAACUAUUGUGAACUAAUGAAGUCUAUCUGAACUAUAUUGAAGUACUGAAGUCUAUCCACUACUGAACUAUUGAAGUACUGAACUAUUGAAGUCUAUCCACUACUUAUGAAGUCAAGUCUGGAACAUUUCUACUAACAUGACUGACACUGACACUGGCUAUCAACACUGCAGAUGGUGGUACUCACGCACAGGCUGGUUGUGGUCUGAUAGUUAUAACGAGCCUUAUACGUACUGUUAUCAAGCCUUAAAUCGUGUCUACUAAUGUCUACCCCCUAAUAAUCUAUUUCUCGCACUGCAUAGUUCUUGCUCUGGGGGACCAACUGGCAGAUCUGACACUGCACUGAAGAUGGUGACAUUUCAAGAAUCUACAUGAUUAUUAUGGGUAGUAGUUUGGCAUUAGAUAGUUAUCAAGCAAGCCUUGUGUAUUAGCAUGUAUGAGUACUAUCAGGCACUCCUGGUACUAUAUUGAUGUGUCCUAACCUAUUCUUACACUACAUGGUUCUUGCUCUGGAGGGGACCAACUGGCGAAAUUUCUAUAGAAAAGACUCUUUUAUGUCCGACACACUGGAUACUGGCAGCAUAUCGAGAACCUACAUAUCGGUUGUGGUCUAACGAUUAAUAUAUUGAGCCUUACACCAUUCUAUCAAGCCUUGUGUAUAUUCGUACAUGCAUGAUUACUGAUGCCUACCCCAACAACCAACUGCUUUACUAUAGUCUGUCUCUUUCAAACCUUGCAUCCCUGUAGAACCACUCACCAGCUGCAUGUAUUGUGUGCUUCAGACGUACCUAUAGUAUACUUCCUAUAACCUAUAGCUAUUCUAACCAAAUUCUCCCACUACAUGGUUCUAGCUCUGGAGGACCAACCGGCAGAAUUUCUAGAAAGACUUGUUUAUUCGACAUGCUGGACGAACUACUUGUGGCAUUUCACUAUCAAGAAUCUACAUGUCGCUUGUGGUGGUCUGACAAUUAUUCUAAAUAAUAAUAAUUCUUAUUUGAGCCUUAUACAGUAACAAGCCUUGUGUGUUACAUGACAUGAGUACCUAACCCCAUGCAUGCAUGUACCCUCUAAUAAUCUAUUUCUCCCACUACAUGGUUCUAGCUCUGGAGGACAAUUGGCGGAAUUUCUAUAUAGAGAAAAAACUCCAUAUUACAUCUGACAGUAGAGGGACUGCUGGUGACAUCUACGUAUCGGUUGUGGUGGUCUGAUAAUUAAUUCUAAAUAUUAAGCUUUUAUAUAAUUAUACAGUUCAAGCCUUGUGUAUUGUAAUUCCAUGUAUGAGGUAGUACUACGUAUGUGUCCUAACCCUGCCCUUCACACUACAUGGUUCUGGCUCCAGGGGACCUACUGCACUGCACGUCACAUACUAAAGUCAAUAUUAAUUGCAAGCUACUGAAGUCAAGCAUGAAACAUAUAUCUAUACUGAUUUACAUCACCAAAUCCCACAAACACUGAUGGAAUAAGCAACAAUGUCCUCCUCCUCAACCACGACUAGCUGCUGCAAUGAACCAUCAUACAUAACAUCACAAUCAUACUUUUGGGGCGCCCCAACAUUUUUCAUUUCUUUUUCGUUUGUCAUACUGUAAAUGAAAAAUGAACUCGAUCUACUGGUUCUCUGGAGGGGGAGUGGUCAGACCACACCCUACUACAAAGGUGGCCACACCCACAUGAUGGCCACACCCUCAUGUUAGGCAACAGCAACUCCUACAUGAGAAUCUCCAUUGGAUAGCAAAUUCUAACCACCUGGAUGUAACAGAACCUUCUAAUUAGUCUCGUGGCCAGACUACCUUCUAAUAACCUGGACUGGGACAGCCUCUAGAUAUCCCAGAUGGUCCCAUGGGUGGAUGGGUGGGGGGCCAGCGAUGCAGUGCCACAUACUCGCGACGGUGCUGGCUGUCACACUGCAUGGAGGGAGGACUCUCUCUCUGCAUGGAGGGAGGACUAUCUCUCUGCAUGGAGGGAGGACUAUCUCUCUCUCUCUGGUGUGCAAGAGCACUGCAAACUGAACAAUAAUUAUGAUAAUGAACAUACAAACAUUAUUGAACAUUAAUUUUUAACAUUAAUUUUACAAUGGUUGAAAAUGAAA